This 344-nucleotide long non-coding RNA is filed under the name Vigna radiata. RNAcentral describes it as "long non-coding RNA (VRAD_LNC004816)". The record is from RNAcentral. Lineage: Eukaryota; Viridiplantae; Streptophyta; Magnoliopsida; Fabales; Fabaceae.
UCUAGAGAUGAGGGAAUAAUUGCUAGGGAAGAGGACCGAUUGCCUUUAAGCUUCUAUGCGAAUGUAAUGCAUGAAUAAUUGCUAGGGCGACAAGACAUUGUAAACUGGUAAUUAGGAUAGGCUCUUUUCACCAAGACAUUGAAAUUAGGGUAAAUUAGAAAGUGACAUUGACAUUAAUGAAAAAGUAGAAUUCGUAAAUAUAUGAGAGUGGAUUAGGAUAAGUCGGAAACCCCAACAACACCAUUCAUCCAUAUCGUUCAACUGUCAAUUGAUCAAUCAUUGCAUGUGCAUGUUUAAUUUUCGUUUUUUCAUUCUAAACAACAAUUUUCGUUAGUCAAGUCUUA